GGCAUUCCAACUAUCCCCAUAUUGACUGGAGUUCAGACUGCUGGUGUAGGUGACAUGGUCAUGGCUACUGUCAAGAAGGGCAAGCCUGAGCUCAGGAAGAAGGUGCACCCGGCAGGGGUAAUUCGGCAGCGGAAAUCAUACCGGAGAAAAGACAGGAUGUUCCUCUAUUUUGAAGACAAUGUGGGAGUGAUAGUAAAUAACAAAGGGGAAAUGAAAGGCUCAGCAAUCACAGGCCCCGUGGCUAAGGAAUGCGCAGGUCUGUGGCCCAGGAUAACCCCCUAUGCUGGCAGCAUUGCAUAAACCUGCUCCAUUCUCAUUGUAAAGAUAAAUUAAAAGUGAUUGC
This is a long non-coding RNA of Dermochelys coriacea (leatherback sea turtle), 343 nucleotides long. RefSeq lists it as uncharacterized. The transcript is spliced from 3 exons. The record is from RefSeq and is a predicted model, not a curated record. Lineage: Eukaryota; Metazoa; Chordata; Testudines; Dermochelyidae.